GUGGAUAAUAUGCCAUAUCGUCUGUUGUAUUUUUUUAAUACAAAUGGACGAUCACACGAUUCUUAUAUAUGUAUAUAGUCCAAAAUAUCACACAGUGUUCCUAGACAAUCAUCUCUUUGACGUCAGAAUCAAUCUUCGAUAUGGUUCGUAAUAAAAGAUGUAAUCCAAUCUGCAGUAUUAUUCAUUUUUCGGUAGAUAUAUCAAACAGUCGAUGAAGAAGUGACAAAUAAACCCUCGAAUAUCACAGAGUAGCGGGCGAGCUUCCAAUCGUAUCA
Molecule: long non-coding RNA, 275 nt
Filed under: Elaeis guineensis (African oil palm)
Lineage: Eukaryota; Viridiplantae; Streptophyta; Magnoliopsida; Arecales; Arecaceae
Description: long non-coding RNA (EGUI_LNC001463)
Source: RNAcentral